RNAcentral lists this unclassified non-coding RNA (345 nucleotides) under Hevea brasiliensis (rubber tree). The record is from RNAcentral. Lineage: Eukaryota; Viridiplantae; Streptophyta; Magnoliopsida; Malpighiales; Euphorbiaceae.
CAAGGGGGAGAGUUUUUAUAGCAUUGCUGAGUCCUUGGAGGGCUUGACGACCUGUAGAGCCAUCCAAGAGAAGAAUCUGGGCGUCCCACCAUCGAAUCUUGGGGAUAACGCUCGGCUAUUGAUACCACUUAGAUGUGCCUGUCCAUAUUCAUCAGAAGUCGGCCUAGCAAGAAGAAUUUUGCUCUCAUAUCCAGUAAGUGAAGGCGAUACAAUCUCAAAUCUGGCCAUUAAGUUCAAUACGACUCCAGAAGCUAUUGUAUCUGCAAAUAACAGAUCAGUAGCAAACUUUAAGCCUGAAAGCCUUGUACCUCUUACAUCUCUUUUGAUACCACUCAAAAGUAAGCC